ACGUUGAACCUUUUCUUCCGGGAAAGGGGGAGUCAUCAGUGAGAUACCACUCUUGGUAAGCUAGAGCGCUCAUUUUUAACCGUUAUCCGGUAAAAAGACAGUUUCAGGCGGGCAGUUUGACUGGGGCAGUCACCUCCCAAAAGGUAAUGGAGGUGUACAAAGGUUCUCUCAGGCUGGACGGAAAUCAGCCAUAGAGUGUAAAAGCAUAAGAGAGCUUGACUGCGAGACGGACAUGUCAAGCAGAGACGAAAGUCGGUUUUAGUGAUCCGACGGUGCUGAGUGGAAAGGCCGUCGCUCAACGGAUAAAAGUUACUCUAGGGAUAAC
This 325-nucleotide ribosomal RNA is filed under the name uncultured eukaryote. Its description in RNAcentral is "LSU rRNA". It matches the Rfam family "Bacterial large subunit ribosomal RNA", at positions 2154 to 2478 of the family's 2925-position model. The record is from RNAcentral.